GAUGAACGCUGGCGGCGUGCCUAAUACAUGCAAGUCGAGCGAACAGACGAGGAGCUUGCUCCUCUGACGUUAGCGGCGGACGGGUGAGUAACACGUGGAUAACCUGCCUAUAAGACUGGGAUAACUUCGGGAAACCGGAGCUAAUACCGGAUAAUAUAUUGAACCGCAUGGUUCAAUAGUGAAAGACGGUUUUGCUGUCACUUAUAGAUGGAUCCGCGCCGCAUUAGCUAGUUGGUAAGGUAACGGCUUACCAAGGCAACGAUGCGUAGCCGGCCUGAGAGGGUGAUCGGCCACACUGGAACUGAGACACGGUCCAGACUCCUACGGGAGGCAGCAGUAGGGAAUCUUCCGCAAUGGGCGAAAGCCUGACGGAGCAACGCCGCGUGAGUGAUGAAGGUCUUCGGAUCGUAAAACUCUGUUAUUAGGGAAGAACAAAUGUGUAAGUAACUAUGCACGUCUUGACGGUACCUAAUCAGAAAGCCACGGCUAACUACGUG
RNAcentral lists this ribosomal RNA (497 nucleotides) under uncultured bacterium. RNAcentral describes it as "partial 16S ribosomal RNA". It matches the Rfam family "Bacterial small subunit ribosomal RNA", at positions 28 to 507 of the family's 1533-position model. The record is from RNAcentral.